UGGGGAAUCUUGGACAAUGGGGGCAACCCUGAUCCAGCCAUGCCGCGUGAGUGAUGAAGGCCUUAGGGUCGUAAAGCUCUUUCGCCUGUGAAGAUAAUGACGGUAGCAGGUAAAGAAACCCCGGCUAACUCCGUGCCAGCAGCCGCGGUAAUACGGAGGGGGCGAGCGUUAUUCGGAAUUAUUGGGCGUAAAGGGCGCGUAGGCGGACCAGAAAGUUGGGGGUGAAAUCCCGGGGCUCAACCCGGAACUGCCUCCAAAACUAUUGGUCUAGAGUUCGAGAGAGGUGAGUGGAAUUCCAAGUGUAGAGGUGAAAUUCGUAGAUAUUUGGAGGAACACCAGUGGCGAAGGCGGCUCACUGGCUCGAUACUGACGCUGAGGUGCGAAAGUGUGGGGAGCAAACAGGAUUAGAUACCCUGGUAGUCCACACCGUAAAACGAUGAAUGCCAGUCGUCGGGUAGCAUGCUAUUCGGUGACACACCUAACGGAUUAAGCAUUCCGCCUGGGGAGUACGGUCGCAAGAUUAAAAC
Molecule: ribosomal RNA, 527 nt
Filed under: uncultured bacterium
Lineage: Bacteria
Description: bacterial SSU rRNA
Rfam family: Bacterial small subunit ribosomal RNA
Source: RNAcentral